CGUCGAGUAGCACGAGUAAAACCGCUCUUUUAUAAGGAAACAAAAAAAACAGCUAUCAAUUGUUGCUGUUCCUAGAGAUGUCUACAUUCAGACUCAAAUAUUAUAGAAGAUUGAAAUCCAAGAUAAAAGUAUUUUAUGCUCUUCAAGAAUCACUUGGAAGCGGCGUGUAGAUAAAGUAUUCAAUCUCAAAUUAGAUGACAAGAAAGAAGAAUUGCGGUAUGGAUUUUAUAGUCAGCAAUUUGUUAACAUUGUCUUUAUUCUUAAAAUAAUAACAAUUCAGGGAAACAAGAAUCAUUCAGUAGAACGUACGAAACAAAAUUUAUUAGUACAAGUAUUUUUUUACUUAGUACCAUUAUCAUGUACCUAUUAUAAUUUUUGUAAUAUCUUUUUUAAUGUCACUUGUAAUACGUGCAUACAAAUAGAAUGUAAGUAGCAAUCUGUAUAGAACUUCAUUUGGUUUAUGUUAAGGUUAGGUUUGAUUAGAUGUUAGAAUGUAUUGUUGUUAAAUUACGAACGUUUAAUUAUUACGUCUAUAGUUUUAUGAAAAAUUGUUUUUAGUUAGGGGUGUAAGUGGCUCUUCCUGGACCUCUUGAGCCAAAGUCAACCUCUCCUGCCCGCGGCGCACCCUGCCGACUAGCGAACGAGGCUCUGGCGGAGACGCGGCGGACUCAGCUCCGCGUGUCACUCGUGCUCAACAAUAACAACAAGCCGAGUGCACCAUCACGUCUCUAGUUUAUUAGUUAUUUUUUAUGUAUUGGUUAGGUCUGUCCAGGUCAUGCGAACGACGAAUAAUACUUCAAUGAUACUUAUUAGUUUUAAGUCUUCUAAUAUCUUAUUUAAUUAUAUUAUAUUGGAGCAGCUACGUUAGUCAUGUAGGUCUCAGGAUUAAGAAUAUAUGUACUUUGGUAAAAUUAGCGUAAUACUGUUAUUGGUGUGAAUUAUUCCAUAAUCUCUAGUUGUAAACCGUUUUCAAUUACAGUGUCACAUGCACAUUUAGUUACAAUAUAAUUACAUAUUUAAUCGUUCUAGUAUUAUAUUCCAAUCAAUUAAAUUAAUUCAUCUUAUAAAUUUUAUUCAAUAUCUUUGUGUGUAUUUAAUCUUAGAACAAGUAAACUGAGGUGUCGUAGUAGUAA
Long non-coding RNA from Bombyx mandarina (wild silkworm), 1133 nucleotides. NCBI's taxonomy places the organism in Eukaryota, Metazoa, Arthropoda, Insecta, Lepidoptera, Bombycidae. The record is from RefSeq and is a predicted model, not a curated record.